UUUGUUAUGAUGAUAACCUAACUCAGCUCACUCAGAGUUCUCUGAACUAUGCUGAUAAACUUCCUAUUUCCAACUCAUCAAAUUCUGAUUUCUAC
This 95-nucleotide small nucleolar RNA is filed under the name Spathaspora passalidarum NRRL Y-27907. Lineage: Eukaryota; Fungi; Ascomycota; Pichiomycetes; Serinales; Debaryomycetaceae. The record is from RNAcentral.